This 1075-nucleotide long non-coding RNA is filed under the name Oryza brachyantha (malo sina). RNAcentral describes it as "long non-coding RNA (OBRA_LNC000979)". The record is from RNAcentral. Lineage: Eukaryota; Viridiplantae; Streptophyta; Magnoliopsida; Poales; Poaceae.
GUGUAAAGCUUUAUGAUCAUUAGUAGUAUUCAAAUGCCAUGUUUGCUUAGUUUGUACAAGGUGGAGGAGGGAGAGAAAAAGCGACAAAGCUUGCAUAGAUCUAUUCAUCUAUAUAUAGGCUAUAUCAUCCAUGAGGCUGUGCAUGUACUGAAGUUUCCCAGUACUUGCAUACUGAACUACCAGUAGUACUACAUACUCCAUGCAGGACACAGAGAUGUCAAGCUACAGGAGAUAGAAGAGACUUGGAUGGUCAUAUUGAUUAGAGGUCAAAGAAUUCAAUUACUACCUCCACCCUUAACAUUUCUACAAUCAUUUACAUUUAAGAACAGAUCUAAUCUAUAUAUGUUAGAACUCAUAUAUCUCUUGGUCAUCUCAUCUCAACCUCUCUGCACGUGUUAUUAAUAACCUACUCAUAUAUAGUACAACAGGAGAGACUGUACGUCAGCGGUCAGCUGCUAGCCAUAUAUAUACUUUGGUAAUAGUAUAUAAUUAACUUUGCUUAGGGAAAGAAGGAGAAGAUGAAUUCUACACCACCACCUGCUGCACCACUGGCCAAGAGUCCAAGAGGACUAGCAAGACCUGCUUUACUGAUUGAUCUCUUUCAUCAAAAUGGACAUAAAGUUGAACACCCUGCAAAUACACUAGCUAGCUAGAAUGCCACCCCUAGACACCUGUAGCAGCUAGUAGCUCACAUCAUUUUGAUAACCUGUAAUUAACUAUCUCUAGUCUACUGAUCCCACUGUUUAACCCCUAGAUAGAUAUAUAUAGAGCUGUUUGAUAAUAAUUAACUAACCAGCCAAGCUAGAACAGCAAGCAAACAAAACCCAGCAGCCUUCCAAUACACAGUGCAUGCAGCUAGCAGCCAAGGUGAUAUAUACACCAACUCCUUCUCCUAGAAAUCUAGGGUUUUCAUCAGCUUUCUCCCUGCAUAAAACUCCAUCCCCUCUCUGAUCUCUCACUCUCCCUAACUAGCUAGCUGGCUGGGCUAGCCAUGCCACAUCCAUUAUAUAUAUAUCCAUGCAUCACACACACACAUAUGCUUAUGAGCUAAGGAAACAUCUCUCUUCACCACAUC